RNAcentral lists this ribosomal RNA (440 nucleotides) under uncultured bacterium. RNAcentral's name for it is "partial 16S ribosomal RNA". It matches the Rfam family "Bacterial small subunit ribosomal RNA", at positions 338 to 795 of the family's 1533-position model. The record is from RNAcentral.
CCUACGGGAGGCAGCAGUGGGGAAUAUUGGGCAAUGGAGGAAACUCUGACCCAGCAACGCCGCGUGAAGGAUGAAGGUUUUCGGAUUGUAAACUUCUGUCGCGAGGGAUGAAGAAUGACGGUACCUCGUAAGAAAGCCCCGGCAAACUACGUGCCAGCAGCCGCGGUAAUACGUAGGGAGCGAGCGUUGUCCGGAAUUACUGGGUGUAAAGGGAGCGUAGGCGGGACUGCAAGUUGGGUGUCAAAUCUACCGGCUCAACCGGUAGCCGCACUCAAAACUGCAGUUCUUGAGUGAAGUAGAGGCAGGCGGAAUUCCUAGUGUAGCGGUGAAAUGCGUAGAUAUUAGGAGGAACACCAGUGGCGAAGGCGGCCUGCUGGGCUUUUACUGACGCUGAGGCUCGAAAGUGUGGGGAGCAAACAGGAUUAGAUACCCUUGUAGUC